GACGAACGCUGGCGGCGUGCUUAACACAUGCAAGUCGAACGGAAAGGCCCUGCUUUUGUGGGGUGCUCGAGUGGCGAACGGGUGAGUAACACGUGAGUAACCUGCCCUUGACUUUGGGAUAACUUCGGGAAACUGGGGCUAAUACCGGAUAGGAGCUCCUGCUGCAUGGUGGGGGUUGGAAAGUUUCGGUGGUUGGGGAUGGACUCGCGGCUUAUCAGCUUGUUGGUGGGGUAGUGGCUUACCAAGGCUUUGACGGGUAGCCGGCCUGAGAGGGUGACCGGCCACAUUGGGACUGAGGUACGGCCCAGACUCCUACGGGAGGCAGCAGUGGGGAAUAUUGCACAAUGGGCGGAAGCCUGAUGCAGCAGCGCCGCGUGCGGAAUGACGGCCUUCGGGUUGUAAACCGCUUUCGCCUGUGACGAAGCGUGAGUGACGGUAAUGGGUAAAGAAGCACCGGCUAACUACGUG
RNAcentral lists this ribosomal RNA (468 nucleotides) under uncultured bacterium. Its description in RNAcentral is "partial 16S ribosomal RNA". It matches the Rfam family "Bacterial small subunit ribosomal RNA", at positions 28 to 507 of the family's 1533-position model. The record is from RNAcentral.